Molecule: ribosomal RNA, 164 nt
Filed under: uncultured bacterium
Lineage: Bacteria
Description: partial 16S rRNA
Rfam family: Bacterial small subunit ribosomal RNA
Source: RNAcentral
UAGGGAAUCUUCGGCAAUGGACGAAAGUCUGACCGAGCAACGCCGCGUGAGUGAAGAAGGUUUUCGGAUCGUAAAACUCUGUUGGUAGAGAAGAACGUUGGUGAGAGUGGAAAGCUCAUCAAGUGACGGUAAUACCCAGAAAGGGACGGCUAACUACGUGCCAG